Molecule: long non-coding RNA, 438 nt
Filed under: Aotus nancymaae (Ma's night monkey)
Lineage: Eukaryota; Metazoa; Chordata; Mammalia; Primates; Aotidae
Description: lncRNA (ENSANAG00000038621.1)
Source: RNAcentral
GAAUAUGCACCCAGCGGCAGUGGUCUCGUAGGAAAUGGUGUUCUCGUAAGUCAGGCUGCCCCGCUGAAGCACGAGAGAGCUUUGGUUAGAGCUCAGAGCGUCAGUUCUGCUGUGAGUGCUGCCGGCAGUCUGCCCGGGUUGAGCUGUCCACUCGUCCAGGUGCUGAAGCUGGUGGAACAUUGGGGUUCUCUGGGUGCCAUGGCACUCAAUCAAACCACCUAGAAUGGACUGGCCGAGACCAGACUGGGUACCAAGCAGAGAAGUGCAGAGGAAGGCACUGGGAGAGCACCAGAAUUGGAAAUAGAGCGGCCAUUUGGAUUUGGGCAGGAAGCAGCCGAGCACAGCUUUGGAUCCUUCUUUAGGGAAAUCGAGUUAUGGAUUUAUGGUCCCGGUCAAGCUCAGCCCAUCCCCAGCCAGGGGCGGGCUCAGCAAGCAGCA